GGGCAUGGUUCAACGGUAGAACAGCGGUCUCCAAAACCGUCGAUGAGAGUUCGAUUCUUUCUGCCC
This 66-nucleotide transfer RNA is filed under the name bovine gut metagenome. It matches the Rfam family "tRNA". Rfam says of the family: Transfer RNA (tRNA) molecules are approximately 80 nucleotides in length. The record is from RNAcentral.